Molecule: long non-coding RNA, 4346 nt
Filed under: Nicotiana benthamiana
Lineage: Eukaryota; Viridiplantae; Streptophyta; Magnoliopsida; Solanales; Solanaceae
Description: long non-coding RNA (NBEN_LNC007433)
Source: RNAcentral
CUAAAACUAGACUGAAUUCGAUAUCAAUCCAGUUGUGGCUUAGUAAGAAAUGCACCUGACAUGCUUUCAUUUGUCUGAUAAAAAUAUCGUUAUGGGUACGUUUUUUCUGCUUAAGAAUUGGCCCAACUCAUCUUAAAAAUAUCGUUAUGGGUACCUCAUCUUUUUAAUAUCAUUUUCAAAUUAAGUUAAAAAUCAAUGGAAUACUCGCUUCCAAAUGUAAGAGAAUCAUAAUACAGUUGCAGCUUAAGUGAUGAGGUCACUUAAUUCUCGUCAAAAUUAGACCACAUUAACUUGUAAUAUAACUAGUGGCGGAGGUAGCAAAGUGCAUCUGACGAGUUACUUCAUAAUUUCUGUGUCUCUUUCAAACUUCCACAGCUAGUCGUAAAAAGUAAUUAGCAAUUUUUUCCACAUAUCACACGUGCCCAGUUCUUAUAUCAUUUUUUCACAUAAUUAACAAAGGAAUUCUCAUUUUUCACAAAAUGAACGAGGAUUCUCCUAUUCAAUUUUCGACGUUCACAUCCACAACUAGGGUGUACGAACCCAGUUGCCAAUCAGCCAGUCAACACAAGUGGAAGCAAUUCAUUCUGGUAGAAGGUCUUCAAUUCCGCUUGCCAAAUCAGAUGGCAGUUUGAGACGAGGAGAAUAACUUAACUUUUGAUUGAGACGUCCAGAGUGGAUAUGAUAGAUAUACCGUUCAAACAUAUGGGCACCCGUGCCCACACUGCCAAGCUCACAAGACUUGACAUAAACAUAUACCACCAGUCUCGCAGUUCUUUUAAGCAGUGCCCAAGAACACGUGUUGCACAUUUUACUCUUCUAUUUAUCUCUAAAUUUCAUUGCAUCAGUUUUUUUCAUUUAAACGUGUGAUGGAAGAUAUCAAUAAAACAUGCCUAAUGGCACAAGAUACCAAUCUUUAACAUGUCUUAAGAGGAACUUCACUUGUACGCUAUGAAUACUUGGACAGCAUCCAACAAUUUCAAGUCUGAAAAAGCAACUACUAAGAAGCAAUGCAACUAGCUUCCCUAGCUCAAAGGCACAAACAGACCUGCAUCGCUUAUCCUCCGGUGGUGUUCACUCUUCCCUAAAAGCCCUCAAAAUAAGCAAUACAAAAGUAGAAAUGUAGAUGUACAAGCUAACAGAAUAUCAUUUUUGCUUCCAGACUUCCAUUAUACUCACUGAUAGAAACAGAUAAAAGAGCCAAAUAACACGCAACAACGUUACCAAGUCUCUCCCACUACUGACAUAGCACUUGCCAAACAAAGCACAAACAACGAAGCAGAAAACGAUACUCUCGCAAAACAAUAAUAUCUUUUAAACUUAAUUACGAAAUAAUUCAUUUUCAUCUAAUGUUUGGUUUACCACCAGAAAAAUGAAAACUUAAGUGAAUACCUAAACACUAAUAAACUUUGGACCAACGGUAUGACCGCCAAAACAAAAUAAGGACAAACAUCUAAAACAAUAUUGAGUAGAUUCCAAGUCAUCAAAAGAAGAAUGAAGGCAAUAAAUCUUUUUGAUAGUUAUGCAAAAAACAAAUUGUAUGACAAAAGAUCGAGUUCAAAUUCCAACAUAAAAUAGCAAAUGAUUAGAACUACGUGCUGCUCUAAAUGAGCCAUGUAUGCUUAGGGCUCGUUUCGUAAAGAAUAUAAGAAUAAUGCUAAAUAGAAUGUAUUAAUUAUGCUGACACAUUUCUUAUUCAUUGUUUAGUUUGAUGUAUUAAAACAUUGCACAAAUUCUAAAAAAAUUAUUUGAUUACAAAAAUACCCUCAUAACCAAUCUAUCACUUUAUCUUUUUAAAAGAAACAUAUAUUGAGGAAUGUUUUUUUAUGAAAAAGGUUAUAAAAAAAAUUAUUUGGUUCGACUACCUAUAUUAUUACAACAACAACAACAACUACCCAGUAUAGUCCCACAAAGUGGGGUCUGGGGAGGGUAACAUNNNNNNNNNNNNNNNNNNNNNNNNNNNNNNNNNNNNNNNNNNNNNNNNNNNGGGAGGGUAACAUGUAGACGAGCCUUACCCCUACCCGAAAGGGCAGAGAGGCUGUUUCCAAUCGACCCUCGGCUCAGCGAAGGAAAGGAACAACAAAAACUAAAACAACAACAAAAGAGCAUUAGUAGCUUCAGCAGAAAUAGCGUAAAUAAUUAUCUAAACAUAAGAACCAUAAAUAAUUAUGUUAAGCAUUUAUCUAAUAAGGAUAUAACUUUAUUUCCCACUUUCUUGGAUUAUUUCAAACUUACAUUAAUAUAACCACGUAUAUUUUAAUCAAGCAUAAAUUUUGAAGGACAAUUUUGUCUUUAACUAAGCUAAUGCAUGCAUUAAAACCCAUUGCAUUGUUAAUACCAUGAUUUCUUAUCAUUAGUUAUGCAUAGGAUAAUGCCAAAUAGGGUGUAUAAUUAAUGCAUAGGUUCAAAAAGUGUACCAAACAAGGUACUAUUAAUACACAAAACUAACGCAUGCAUUAAUUUAUCUAAUGCAUCCUACAAAAUGACCCCUUAAUAUAACUCUUACACCAGUGACAGCAUGAUAUUGAGUCAAACGGCCUCCUGGAGACGGGGAGCUAUCCCUGCUAUCAGUACACACUAUUAUGACAGCCAACUUAAAGGAGUUAGUUCAAAACAAAAGGUUAAAAAACAAGGAGGGGGAGAACAUAAACCCAACAGCAAUAAUAAACCUCUACUAAUAACUAAAUUUAACACAUCCUUCCUAAUCUUAUGUUGCAGUGAUUGCCUAGCCACUACUCAAUCUAAAAUAAGUGUCCAAAUUCUAAGUAACCGCUUCCUGCUACACCAAGCUCCUCAUGGUUGGAACAACAUUGGAAUGGUAAUUCCCUUCUCCCCCAGAAAGGUUCACGUGUUACGUUAACAACUGUUAGAAAGAAAAAAUUCCAAAGCCAAGGAGGUUCCUAGUUUUCUACUGCCCAUCUCACUUCAAAGCUACCCAUCCUCACUUCUCUCUAAUGGGCUUCACCCAAUCCUCCAUGGCACAAAACUUUGUUAAUAGACAUCCUAGAAAAUCUAACUAUAAGUUUAAAUUAAACUUAUCUAUGAGGAUAAGCAAUUUUAGGACAGAAAUCAGUCCAGCGCAGGAUACCAACUUCCAGUACAAGCAUCUCUUCCUGUCACAAGACAUCUGGAAAAUGUAUCAGAAUUAUAAUAAAUGUUAAUUCCGAGACAUGUGAAUAUAGGCGUCAAACUAACCAACUCACAUACCCUGGGGACCUUCACAAUUUCAAGAUGCAUCACCUUCAGGAGAGGAAUAGCAGAAGCAAGUAGUAGGCUGCUUUCUGAGUUCUCAAUAUUAAAAUAACCACAGAAAGGUAAAACACAUAACCAAGUUAGAAAAGAAAAGCAAAGGAGAUUAGCGGUGAUAAGUCAAAGAGGAGAGAAACACACAAAACAGACAACAAACUGUCAGUGAUUAGUAAACAAGAGAUUCAAACAAAUCAUUAAAACAAAAUUUGAUAAACAUAUGCUGGAAGGCAACCCCCAAAACGAGUCCUACAAAAAGUAAAAUUAAUAUUCCAUAAUCCACUGAUUAAAUGCUCCAACACUAGCUGAAUGAACUGAAGGUCUCAUCUCUCUGCAUAACAGUACAACAAGGUUAAAGAUGUGAGUCUGAAACUUCCAACAAAUAAGUCAUGGCAAGAGGAAAGAAAUCAGGUGAAGUGCUCCAACACAUCAGCCUGCCAAAAUAUCACAACAUUAACAAAAGAGAACUGUUAAGAAUGAAGAUAAUCAAGCAACAAAUAAAUUAUUAAAUGCUCGCUGCUUCAAAAAAAAAACAGAGUAACAUUUCCUUAAAACAAAACACAAACAGAAAGGGAAAUGAAAAAAGAUGAACUAAAAUGCAAUCAAGAUUCAAUAGUGGGAGCCGCAAGAUUUGAAUAUAGAUACUUCUAAUGUAGAUGAAUCUGCAUAGCUUUCUGGAGUUCAUUAACAAACAACCUUAUUAUAUACAGUAUACAGUUAAAUUGCUGGAGAAUUAGCUCUAUGAUGGGUCUCUCUUUCUCUACAACUUAGAAAAAUUGGGAAGAGAAAUGAAAACUUCAAAAGAUUUUUACUUUUGAUCCCUAAGGAAAGAUUUGAGUAUCCUACGCAUUAAUCCCACUCAUUUUCUUGUAAAUAAAAAGAUGGAAAACUCAAUCAUUUAUGAAAUUUUGAAAGAAAAAAAAAACCCUUAAAACCCUAGUAAAAUUGGUUGAUAAGAAACUUGGUUGUCCCAUUGCAGAGCUUAGGCGCGAGGAUGAGGAUGUACACAUAAUACAUGUGUAUGCCUCUGAAAGGUGAACGCCAAACAGCAUAGAGAAGACCAAAAUGACAAUUUUGGAAACAGAAGAAACAAAAUAACUUCC